Long non-coding RNA from Astatotilapia calliptera (eastern happy), 1357 nucleotides. The record is from Ensembl. Lineage: Eukaryota; Metazoa; Chordata; Actinopteri; Cichliformes; Cichlidae.
UGCUGCAGUUCAUUUUGCUUUUGAUUACCUUUAACGUGGUCCAGUAUUAUUAGUAAUAAUUAUAAUUUAACUCCUAAGUUAAAGUGUUAUCUGAAAACUGUUACAGUUUUGAAAACUUUAAUGAACAAAGAAGAGAAAAAUGAGUUUUCUAGGUGUUAAUAAGACAGAAAUUUGUAAGAAAUUUAAAUCCAAACAUAACAGAAAACAGGGAACAAAUGCUUCAGUAAAUGCAGGACAGACGUUGAGUUCACAAUUUGCAUUCAGUACAAAAUAUGAAUGAUGCUUUUCUAGUGUGAGAGAGUGACACAUUCAACAAAAAAAAGCUUUUUUGAGAUUUUUGUGAAUAGAGUACGGACAAAUAUUUCUACAUCCAAAAUAAGGCCUGAAUAUUUGUACGUAGCUGUUAUUGCUUUUAACUUUGCAUGUUUUGCCUUUAAAAAAAUAAAAUAAAAGUGCUACUCUAAACAAUCAAGUGUCUCAUUUUGAGUUGAGGAGUUCCUUCUACUUCUUGUUCAUUUACAUACACGAGGCCCCUGAAUAGAAGUGGCCAGGGUUGAAAGCUGAUCAUGAGUCAUUAUGAUCAAACUGAUUCACACUGACACUAACCAAAACAGGGUAUAACUCUGGACUCAAAUCUGAUUAAACUCGCUCUUUCUGUGUCAAACUGCAUUACAUCAAUCCCAUCACUCUGGAAUAUGCCAUAGCACCAUAUCAAAAAAAAAAAAGAAGAAAAAAUUCAGUUUGGACCUGUGGCUUUUGUUAGUUCCCAUGCUGUCUAAUGAUCCCCCCACUUUUCCUCCAACCUCCAGCAGACAAAUCCUUCAGCUUUAUUGCCCAGACUCAAGGGCUGCAGGUGCACAGGCCACAAAAGGAAGGAGGAGGGGGUGCAUGGAGCGUUGGGAUGGGAAAGAGAAUGGUCAGUCGGGAGAUAAGAGGGGAAGGAACAGAACCCCCUACCCUGUUUUAACCUCUAAACCCACACAUCCUUCCCCUCACCCUGCCUCCAUGCCAGUGCUCCUUCUACCCUGCAACACCUCUCUGUUUUGCUCCGCUGCCUUCCCGCUCGUGAGAAGAGUGCAAACUGAAUGGUGCCGCCUGGCGCUACCAGGCCUUGCUGGGUAUGUGUGGCAGGGGACAGAGGGCAGGCAUGGCAAUCUGGCCAUGUGGUGGGAGCAGCCCUUUACUUCUAAACCAGCAGAGAAGUAAUGACUAUGAGACUCGUCCCACCUUGUCCUGCAGUGGCCCAUGAGCGACUGCUGCUGCUGGUGACCGCUAUAAUGUCAAAGUACUCUCCUCCAAUGAAUCUUUCUGAAUAGCUCAAACUUGGCUUAUGCCCCACUGACAAACUAAACGUGGG